GUCUCCGGACAUAUCAGCUUGAAGGCGCCCGAUCUCCUCUGCUCUCCGAAGCUAAGCAGGGUCUGGGCCUGGUUAGCAUCUUGGAUGGGAGACCACCUGGGAAUCCCGGGUGCUGGAGGCU
Molecule: ribosomal RNA, 121 nt
Filed under: Bos indicus x Bos taurus (hybrid cattle)
Lineage: Eukaryota; Metazoa; Chordata; Mammalia; Artiodactyla; Bovidae
Source: RNAcentral